This is a long non-coding RNA of Pieris brassicae (large cabbage white), 838 nucleotides long. RefSeq lists it as uncharacterized. The transcript has 3 exons. NCBI's taxonomy places the organism in Eukaryota, Metazoa, Arthropoda, Insecta, Lepidoptera, Pieridae. The record is from RefSeq and is a predicted model, not a curated record.
GGAAUUAAUAAGAUGUUAAUCAACACACGUGGAAUUCACACGACAAAACUUAAUGAUAUAUUUUUUUUACGAACGUUGGAAACAUUUUUCUAAUGAUUUUUUACGUUUAUGUUUUGUCACGAAUUUCAUAACGAAGUUUCGAUCAGCUUAUCAUUUGUUAAUGCACCAUUAGAACCAGUUGCGCGUUCAUAUUGGCGAUAACUAUAAUCUUUGUACUACUGCUACAAGUACGGAAGCUGAAUAUUGUCUAUUCAUGAUGGCUGGUGAUAUAUCACCACAGGAAUUCUAAAGACCAGUUUCUCACAAACAUCAAUACCUGUAUUAUGUAAAUUUAAAAAAAAUAUGGAAAAUUAUGUAGAAUAUCAAACAAUACUUAAAAACUACUAAUAGGACUAUGGCAAGGAUUUUCACGAAUAUUAAGUAUUUUAUCAGGAGUUCUAUACAAGCUAAAAUUGAAAUCAAAAUAAGGAUGUCAAAUUGUAGAUCUUUUAGCCGACGGUGAACAUACAGAUUUCAGCAGAAAAUAUCAGCAAACGCCGAAAUACCUGGGCCAAUAAAAGUAAAACGGGUACUGAAUUUCAAGUCGACAAGUUGACAACAACCAUUACAGCUCUUCCACAGGGAUUUUACAAAAUUUUUAGUAUUUCCUUAAGUCUCUUUGUUUAGCAGACUUAUAUGUAAGGAAAUAGCUAAAAGGUACGUCGAAAUCACAGGAGACCGAAGAGCUGACAGUUAGCUGGGACAAAGAAUUAGUCCAGCUAAUCAAAGGGGGAACGCUACCAGUAUCUUCGAAACCUUGCCUAAAUGGACUGCUUUUAAUAAAAUAUUUUAGUUAUUA